Molecule: ribosomal RNA, 484 nt
Filed under: uncultured bacterium
Lineage: Bacteria
Description: partial 16S ribosomal RNA
Rfam family: Bacterial small subunit ribosomal RNA
Source: RNAcentral
AUUGAACGCUGGCGGCAGGCCUAACACAUGCAAGUCGAGCGGAUGAAGGGAGCUUGCUCCUGGAUUCAGCGGCGGACGGGUGAGUAAUGCCUAGGAAUCUGCCUGGUAGUGGGGGAUAACGUCCGGAAACGGGCGCUAAUACUGCAUACGUCCUGAGGGAGAAAGUGGGGGAUCUUCGGACCUCACGCUAUCAGAUGAGCCUAGGUCGGAUUAGCUAGUUGGUGGGGUAAAGGCCUGCCAAGGCGACGAUCCGUAACUGGUCUGAGAGGAUGAUCAGUCACACUGGAACUGAGACACGGUCCAGACUCCUACGGGAGGCAGCAGUGGGGAAUAUUGGACAAUGGGCGAAAGCCUGAUCCAGCCAUGCCGCGUGUGUGAAGAAGGUCUUCGGAUUGUAAAGCACUUUAAGUUGGGAGGAAGGGCAGUAAGUUAAUACCUUGCUGUUUUGACGUUACCAACAGAAUAAGCACCGGCUAACUUCGUG